RNAcentral lists this unclassified non-coding RNA (237 nucleotides) under plant metagenome. Its description in RNAcentral is "partial contains small subunit ribosomal RNA and internal transcribed spacer 1". The stretch from base 1 to 47 matches the Rfam family "Eukaryotic small subunit ribosomal RNA", at positions 1786 to 1831 of the family's 1831-position model. The record is from RNAcentral.
AAGUCGUAACAAGGUUUCCGUAGGUGAACCUGCAGGAAGGAUCAUUAAAGAGUAAGGGGUGCUUCAGCGCCCGACCUCCAAACCCUUUGCUGUUAAAACUACCCUUGUUGGCUUUUGGCGGGGAGCCGCUCGGUCUCGAGCCGCUGGGGAUUCGUCCCAGGCGAGCGCCCGCCAGAGUUAAACCAAACUCUUGUUAUUUAACCGGUCGUCUGAGUUAAAAUUUUGAAUAAAUCAAAA